This 1759-nucleotide long non-coding RNA is filed under the name Macaca fascicularis (crab-eating macaque). Its description in RNAcentral is "lncRNA (ENSMFAG00000060748.1)". Lineage: Eukaryota; Metazoa; Chordata; Mammalia; Primates; Cercopithecidae. The record is from RNAcentral.
CUGGGUAACAGGGUUAGACUCUUUGGAAGAGGAUCUAAAUCUCUGAGACCACAGAACUAUUUGAAUACUAACUACCUAGAGAACUUUCCACAUGUUAGGUACGAUUUUGGAUUCCUUCAUAGACGUACACAUACCCCAUCUUUGGGCAAGCCCUAAACUAUUAUAGGUUCCCAUACAACUCCUUCCCCAGUAGGUAAAUUUAGAACUUAUGAAUAAGGAAAAUAAGUCUCUAGCUUCUGCUUUUACUGAAGGAAGCCAAACAUAGCCACUAACACUAUUCACUCCUUACUUCAAAGAGUGAAUUGAGAAAGAAAAUAAGUUAUUUACUCCAUUGUUAUACUCUGAACUUCUAUAAAUUGGUGGUAGAAAAUCUUAAUACAUAGUAUUUAGCCAUACUUUGUAUUUAUUUAAUAUGAACUGAACACAUCUUGCAAGCAUUCUCCCUCUCUAGCUCACCUUGCAUUUGGAGUGUAAUAACCCUAGAUGAGAGUAUUUCUGAAGGUAAACCACUACUUCAGGAGAUAACUUCUUUUUCAAUUUAAUGAAAACCUUCUUGCCUGGGAAGAUUCUUGCAUGUGAACAUUUUUCUCUAAAGACUCUUUAAAGCUUGGUUUUGUUUUAUUUUGUUUUGUUUUGUUUUGUUUACUUUCUUGGUUGCAGAUUCAUUUGUUUGGUUAAACUCCAUAAGCUUGCAGUGGUAAAAUUUGAGCAACUGAAUUUGCCAAAUCACUGCUAAUUCCUGUGCACAUACUCCUUUGUGGAUGUACCGUAACUGACAGGUUUAACAAAACUAAAACUCUAAUGUGUAACCUGUACUAUAUCCAUGCAAUAGACAGUCUUUCUUAAUAAUCAAAUGGCUUUUUCCUUUUACUCCCUAAUCUGACUUUAUUGUUCAAAAUGACUUACAUCUUAUCCAUAAAGGAGAGAAAUAGUGUAUUUUGCUUUUCUUUAUUUUAGUUUGCCUUUUCAGAGGCUUUUUAAGUUGAUCAGUGUAAAGUAACGUCCCUUUUCUUGAAUAUUUUUUACUGAUGGUCUUGCUUCCAUUAAUCAUUUCUCCACGAAAACAUCAUGUUUCUAGAAUUAGUCUUUUUGAGCUAUCAGACCACAUUUGGAGGAGAAACAUGAUGGAACUGCUUACAUGUUAAAAUGAACCACUAGAAAUGAAUUUAAUGUAUUUUAAAAUUUCAGAAUUCUAGUCCCUAAAUGGUUUUGUAUUUGUAUUCAGUAGACACUAUUCAGAAUAGUUAAAACAUAAAUACAUUACACUCUAGGCAUCUGUGAACAAUGUUUUGUUCUCUUUUCAAUGUGGCUAUAUGUUCUAACUUUAGCAGGAUUUAAAGAUUAUAAGAUGGCUAAAGUAAGAUAAUUAAAUCUUUUAUAUGUGAUUUAUUAAAACAUAAAAGAAUUUCUGCAUACAUUUCAACAAUUUCUUCCCCCUCAAAAGUAUAUAACUCCCAUGUAUUUCCAUAGUAUGAGAGCUGAGUUUUGGAAAUAAAAUUAUCCCUUAUUCUGAAAGGUCAGAUAUGAGGCAAAUUGAUGGGAAAGAGAAUGCAUGGAAAAGUAGGGUAGAGAAGAUGGGCAACAUGACAACUGGAAAAAUGGGCUUUUACCACCCAACAUAGUUAUCACAUAUUUUGUGUUUGUUAAAUGAAUACUUUUUGGUAAAAUUUGGGGGUAUUUCCAAGUUUUAAUAGCACUUGAUAAGCCAUCUAUAAUGUAUACAUUUUAAAACAAGAUACAUUAUAAAAUUGAUUACAAU